AUGGACAUUGUUCUAAUGAUUACAUUACUUCCCCAUGGUUUUAGCUUGUCACAGAUGGAGAAUCAUCAUCCAGCUACAUCUCCCUUAGAAUCAGGGAAACGUUCUCCAUUUAAAGACCAAACAUGCAUAAUCUAUUUAGAGUUUCAGUUUGUUUUUUGUCUGACAUCUCUGUUGCCUCUGUUAUAUUACUACAUUGCUAUUAAAACAAGGAAGAAUGGCCUGAUGUUGCCUUUGAAUCUGAUUGUCGGGUACUGGUGGAGAUGUGGAACUCAAAAAAACAUAAUAGAUAGAGAUUAUCGGCUUCCUGGCAGAAAUUGA
RNAcentral lists this ribosomal RNA (318 nucleotides) under Triticum aestivum (bread wheat). RNAcentral's name for it is "partial small subunit ribosomal RNA". The record is from RNAcentral. Lineage: Eukaryota; Viridiplantae; Streptophyta; Magnoliopsida; Poales; Poaceae.